RNAcentral lists this ribosomal RNA (796 nucleotides) under Scedosporium apiospermum. RNAcentral's name for it is "eukaryotic LSU rRNA". It matches the Rfam family "Eukaryotic large subunit ribosomal RNA", at positions 97 to 918 of the family's 3401-position model. Lineage: Eukaryota; Fungi; Ascomycota; Sordariomycetes; Microascales; Microascaceae. The record is from RNAcentral.
AGCGGCAACAGCUCAAAUUUGAAAUCUGGCGGCCUCUGGGCCGUCCGAGUUGUAAUUUGAAGAGGAUGCUUUUGGCGAGGCGCCUUCCGAGUGCCCUGGAACGGGACGCCACAGAGGGUGAGAGCCCCGUAUGGUUGGACGCCGAGCCUCUGUAAAGCUCCUUCGACGAGUCGAGUAGUUUGGGAAUGCUGCUCAAAAUGGGAGGUAAACCCCUUCUAAAGCUAAAUACUGGCCAGAGACCGAUAGCGCACAAGUAGAGUGAUCGAAAGAUGAAAAGCACUUUGAAAAGAGAGUUAAAUAGCACGUGAAAUUGUUGAAAGGGAAGCGCUUGCGACCAGACUUGUGCCCGUCGAAUCAGCCGCCGCUCGCCGGCGGCGCACUUCGGCGGGCUCAGGCCAGCAUCAGUUCGCUGCAGGGGGAGAAAGGCGGCGGGAAUGUGGCUCUUCGGAGUGUUAUAGCCCGCCGCGCAAUACCCCUCGGCGGACUGAGGACCGCGCAUCUGCAAGGAUGCUGGCGUAAUGGUCGUCAGCGACCCGUCUUGAAACACGGACCAAGGAGUCGUCCUAAUAUGCGAGUGUUCGGGUGUAAAACCCCUGCGCGUAAUGAAAGUGAACGGAGGUGAGAGCUUCGGCGCAUCAUCGACCGAUCCUGAUGUUCUCGGAUGGAUUUGAGUAAGAGCAUAUUGGGCCGGACCCGAAAGAAGGUGAACUAUGCCUGUAUAGGGUAAAGCCAGAGGAAACUCUGGUGGAGGCUCGCAGCGGUUCUGACGUGCAAAUCGAUCGUCAAAUAUGGGCAU